This 258-nucleotide ribosomal RNA is filed under the name uncultured bacterium. RNAcentral's name for it is "partial 16S ribosomal RNA". It matches the Rfam family "Bacterial small subunit ribosomal RNA", at positions 333 to 605 of the family's 1533-position model. The record is from RNAcentral.
UCUUUCCUACGGGGGGCAGCAGUGGGGAAUAUUGCACAAUGGGCGAAAGCCUGAUGCAGCAACGCCGCGUGAAGGAAGAAGGGUUUCGGCUCGUAAACUUCUAUUAACAGGGACGAAAGAAAUGACGGUACCUGAAUAAGAAGCCCUGGCUAACUACGUGCCAGCAGCCGCGGUAAUACGUAGGGGGCAAGCGUUAUCCGGAAUUACUGGGUGUAAAGGGUGAGUAGGCGGCAUGGGAAGCCAGAUGUGCAAGCCUUG